This is a long non-coding RNA of Mauremys reevesii (Reeves's turtle), 1045 nucleotides long. RefSeq lists it as uncharacterized. The record is from RefSeq and is a predicted model, not a curated record. The transcript is spliced from 3 exons. Lineage: Eukaryota; Metazoa; Chordata; Testudines; Geoemydidae.
UUGAGAGGACAGGAGAGACAGUCUCCCUGCUUUCAGUUUCAGUGCUUGGCGCCAUUGAGGAGCAAUUGGUGGGAAAGUCCUGUUCAGCUCCUUCAACUCUGGAAUUAUGCAUGCUCCAUGCAGAUGAAAUCUUCAGGAAACUUAGCUGCUAACCUGAGCAUGUGUGAACUGAGAUUUUUAAGAGACUUGGACAAACUUAGGUGAAUUUUUACAGGGAUGGCUACAGACACAUCUUGACACCAUGGCGGUCUCUAUCCCCCACCGCAGCUGAACUUCAAGUCUGAGUUCUGAUGUAUGGAGAUGCUAGAACCCAGGUCUAGCAGCUGAAUUCUGGCAUAUCUGGCAUAUCUGAUGUCCUUUCUUGCAAGUUGGUCUUUGUGGGCAGACCAGUAGGCCUGUGUACAGCCACCUGAAGUUCUCUGAGGGUGAUACUGCCUGUUUAGGAGGGAAGAGGAACAGUGCACCUAUGACUGGUCAGUAAACUUCAAAUUAGGCUUAAAAGAGAGCACCUGGGCCGUGGAGAAGAAGGUCCAUCAAGGAAGUCAGAAGGGGCAGGAGACAGGAAGGAGGAAACCUGAGGAGCAGCAGCAGCAGAUGGUGAUGAAAGUCAGUACAGAGAACCAUUGGGAAGAGCAAAAUGUUUAUGGUCUCCUUUCAUGUACCUGUUGUGCUAGCAGGCAUUCUUAGAGAAUCAAACAGCUCCAGGCUGGUUUCAGUUUAUUAAAGCAAAGCGAGAGGAGUGAGAUAAAUAACCACCUGAAGAACAGUGCAUAAGAAAAUGAAAGAAAAACUUGAUGCCCUUCUGCAAAACAAUCCCCAUGUGAUCCUAGAAGAUUGAAUGUUGAGCUAUUCCUGACUCUGGCACUACUUUACAACCUUUCCAGCAGUGGUCUGGUGAAGUAUUACGUAUCUUGCUUUAAUCUGUGCAGAUGAACAUAACCUGCUGCUAUGUUAUAAAAUGGGAGGAGCACAUAGAAAUCUUACUGUUUUGGCUUAGUAAUGUGUGAAUAGAACUGCAAUAAAUAUUUAAAAACUUUGAAAUUCA